UACAGAGGUCUCAAGCGUUGUUCGGAUUCAUUGGGCGUAAAGGGUGCGUAGGUGGCGCUGUAAGUCGGGUGUGAAAUUUCGGAGCUUAACUCCGAAACUGCAUUCGAUACUGCGGUGCUUGAGGACUGGAGAGGAGACUGGAAUUUACGGUGUAGCGGUGAAAUGCGUAGAUAUCGUAAGGAAGACCAGUGGCGAAGGCGGGUCUCUGGGCCGUAACUGACGCUGAGGAGCGAAAGCAUGGGGAGCGAACAGG
This 253-nucleotide ribosomal RNA is filed under the name uncultured bacterium. Its description in RNAcentral is "partial 16S ribosomal RNA". It matches the Rfam family "Bacterial small subunit ribosomal RNA", at positions 524 to 776 of the family's 1533-position model. The record is from RNAcentral.